GGCCUUGUAGCUCAGUCAGUAAGAGCAACAGUGAUCAAUUCUGUAGAUUGUGGGUUCAAACCCCACCUUGGUCA
RNAcentral lists this transfer RNA (74 nucleotides) under Acropora cervicornis. RNAcentral's name for it is "tRNA-OTHER". It matches the Rfam family "tRNA". Rfam says of the family: Transfer RNA (tRNA) molecules are approximately 80 nucleotides in length. Their secondary structure includes four short double-helical elements and three loops (D, anti-codon, and T loops). The record is from RNAcentral. Lineage: Eukaryota; Metazoa; Cnidaria; Anthozoa; Scleractinia; Acroporidae.